AGAGAGAGACUUGUCUCAGAUUGGCUGGGCCAACUCUGUUUCCUGUAGAAAUGUUUGAACAUAUGAGAUACAAAGCAGAGCGUUUAUCUUGUGAGUCAUUCUCCAUAUUUCAGACAUAAGAUUUCGAUUUUCAGUGGGUCUACGUGACAGAAGGAAUGGAGACCCUCUUGGGCCUGCUCAUCCUUUGGCUGCGGUUGCAAUGGGUGAGCAGUAAACAGGAGGUGACACAGAUUCCUGCAGCUCUGAGUGUUCCAGAAGGAGACAACUUGGUUCUCAACUGCAGUUUCACUGAUAGCGCUAUUUACAACCUCCAGUGGUUUAGGCAGGACCCUGGGAAAGGUCUCACAUCUCUGUUGUUAAUUCAGUCAAGUCAGAGAGAGCAAACAAGUGGAAGACUUAAUGCCUCGCUGGAUAAAUCAUCAGGACGUAGUACUUUAUACAUUACAGCUUCUCAGCCUACUGACUCAGCCACCUACCUCUGUGCUGUGAGACACAGUGCACAACAGGCACCUGCAACCAGUACCCAAACUCUAUAG
Non-coding RNA from Chlorocebus sabaeus (green monkey), 536 nucleotides. The record is from the annotation of a RefSeq genome assembly. NCBI's taxonomy places the organism in Eukaryota, Metazoa, Chordata, Mammalia, Primates, Cercopithecidae.